This 699-nucleotide ribosomal RNA is filed under the name Pseudomonas sp. CB47(2010). RNAcentral's name for it is "bacterial SSU rRNA". It matches the Rfam family "Bacterial small subunit ribosomal RNA", at positions 63 to 757 of the family's 1533-position model. The record is from RNAcentral. Lineage: Bacteria; Pseudomonadati; Pseudomonadota; Gammaproteobacteria; Pseudomonadales; Pseudomonadaceae.
CGAGCGGAUGACGGGAGCUUGCUCCUUGAUUCAGCGGCGGACGGGUGAGUAAUGCCUAGGAAUCUGCCUGGUAGUGGCUACGGGAGAAAGCAGGGGACCUUCGGGCCUUGCGCUAUCAGAUGAGCCUAGGUCGGAUUAGCUAGUUGGUUGCGCUAUCAGAUGAGCCUAGGUCGGAUUAGCUAGUUGGUGAGGUAAUGGCUCACCAAGGCGACGAUCCGUAACUGGUCUGAGAGGAUGAUCAGUCACACUGGAACUGAGACACGGUCCAGACUCCUACGGGAGGCAGCAGUGGGGAAUAUUGGACAAUGGGCGAAAGCCUGAUCCAGCCAUGCCGCGUGUGUGAAGAAGGUCUUCGGAUUGUAAAGCACUUUAAGUUGGGAGGAAGGGCAGUAAGUUAAUACCUUGCUGUUUUGACGUUACCGACAGAAUAAGCACCGGCUAACUCUGUGCCAGCAGCCGCGGUAAUACAGAGGGUGCAAGCGUUAAUCGGAAUUACUGGGCGUAAAGCGCGCGUAGGUGGUUCGUUAAGUUGGAUGUGAAAGCCCCGGGCUCAACCUGGGAACUGCAUCCAAAACUGGCGAGCUAGAGUAUGGUAGAGGGUGGUGGAAUUUCCUGUGUAGCGGUGAAAUGCGUAGAUAUAGGAAGGAACACCAGUGGCGAAGGCGACCACCUGGACUGAUACUGACACUGAGGUGCGAA